Molecule: ribosomal RNA, 443 nt
Filed under: uncultured bacterium
Lineage: Bacteria
Description: bacterial SSU rRNA
Rfam family: Bacterial small subunit ribosomal RNA
Source: RNAcentral
GAUGAACGCUGGCGGUAUGCCUAACACAUGCAAGUCGUACGAGAGUUUUUAACUCUAGUGGCGGACGGGUGAGUAACACGUGAGAAUUUGCCUUUAGGAGGGGGAUAACAAUUGGAAACGAAUGCUAAUACCCCAUAUGCUUUUGAGUGAAAUGGAUUUUAUCCGCCUAGAGAGAAGCUCGCGGCUGAUUAGCUUGUUGGUAAGGUAAGAGCUUACCAAGGCGACGAUCAGUAUCUGGUUUGAGAGGACGAUCAGACACACUGGAACUGAGACACGGUCCAGACUCCUACGGGAGGCAGCAGUGGGGAAUUUUCCGCAAUGGGCGAAAGCCUGACGGAGCAAUACCGCGUGAGGGAAGAAUGCCUAUGGGUUGUAAACCUCUUUUUUCAGGGUAGGAAUAAAAUAGACGUGUACCUGAAGAAUAAGCAUCGGCUAACUCCGUG